Molecule: ribosomal RNA, 303 nt
Filed under: Triticum aestivum (bread wheat)
Lineage: Eukaryota; Viridiplantae; Streptophyta; Magnoliopsida; Poales; Poaceae
Description: partial small subunit ribosomal RNA
Source: RNAcentral
AUGGAUUGCACAAGUCAAGCAAUCAAUGAAUUGGAGGAGAAGAAGAAGCAACUUGAGGAGCAGGCAAAGAUUGAGCUUCAAAUGGAGAAGCUUAAGCUCAAGAAAGAACAGAGGUGCAUCCUUCAGAGUCAAGCCGAUAUAAUCCAAAACACAAGGAAGGCCAUGAAGGAGCUAGAGGUGGAGAAAGACCUACUUAAAGAAGAGAAGAAGAAGCUGGAGAAUGUCAUUGUUGAGCUCCUGAAGGUUGGUCAUGGGUGCAAGGAAAAGCUAGACAAGAUAAAGGAAGUUGUGAUGGAGGAGUGA